UACCAGACUCCUACGGGAGGCAGCAGUGAGGAAUAUUGGUCAAUGGGCGGGAGCCUGAACCAGCCAAGCCGCGUGAAGGAAGAAGGCGCCAGGCGUCGUAAACUUCUUUUGUCGGGGAACAAAGGGCGCCACGUGUGGCGUUGUGAGUGUACCCGAAGAAAAAGCAUCGGCUAACUCCGUGCCAGCAGCCGCGGUAAUACGGAGGAUGCGAGCGUUAUCCGGAUUUAUUGGGUUUAAAGGGUGCGUAGGCGGUCCGGAAAGUCAGCGGUAAAAGCCCGGGGCUCAACCCCGUCGUGCCGUUGAAACUGGCGUUCUUGAGUGAGCGAGAAGUAUGCGGAAUGCGUGGUGUGGCGGUGAAAUGCAUAGAUAUCACGCAGAACUCCGAUUGCGAAGGCAGCAUACCGGCGCUCAACUGACGCUCAUGCACGAAAGCGUGGGUAUCGAACAGGAUUAGAUACCCGAGUAAC
This 467-nucleotide ribosomal RNA is filed under the name uncultured bacterium. RNAcentral describes it as "bacterial SSU rRNA". It matches the Rfam family "Bacterial small subunit ribosomal RNA", at positions 329 to 795 of the family's 1533-position model. The record is from RNAcentral.